AAACUGUGCCUUAGGUGUGUCUUGACUGUAUCAAACGAUUCAGCUGCAUCUAGAUGCAGGGUAGUUACCCUUCCCACGACGUGCAUGUGUCGGUAGGAGCACCGCGACGUUAAUCAACGAUAACGACAUCUGAUUGGAUGAAGUGGCGAUGACGCCGAGCUUGGUUGGUAAGGUAUUGGCUUACCAAGGCUAUUACAGGUGACGGGGAAUUAGGGUUUGAUUCCGGAGAGGGAGCCUGAGAGACGGCUACCACAUCUAAGGGUGGCAGCAGGCGCGCAAAUUACUCAGUCCCGACACGGGGAGGUAGUGAACAAAAAUAGUGGCAUAAAGCAUAUUGUUUUAUGACUGCAAUGAGUGAAAAUUACAUCGUUUCACGAGUAACAAUUGGAGGGCAAGUCUGGUGCCAGCAGCCGCGGUAAUUCCAGCUCCAAU
RNAcentral lists this non-coding RNA (432 nucleotides) under Gregarina niphandrodes. Its description in RNAcentral is "Eukaryotic small subunit ribosomal RNA". It matches the Rfam family "Eukaryotic small subunit ribosomal RNA", at positions 167 to 595 of the family's 1831-position model. Lineage: Eukaryota; Apicomplexa; Conoidasida; Eugregarinorida; Gregarinidae. The record is from Rfam by way of RNAcentral.